RNAcentral lists this ribosomal RNA (490 nucleotides) under uncultured bacterium. Its description in RNAcentral is "partial 16S ribosomal RNA". It matches the Rfam family "Bacterial small subunit ribosomal RNA", at positions 30 to 507 of the family's 1533-position model. The record is from RNAcentral.
AUUGAACGCUGGCGGCAGGCCUAACACAUGCAAGUCGAACGGUAACAGGAAGAAGCUUGCUUCUUUGCUGUCGAGUGGCGGCCGGGUGAGUAAUGUCUGGGAAACUGCCUGAUGGAGGGGGAUAACUACUGGAAACGGUAUCUAAUACCGCAUAACGUCGCAAGACCAAAGAGGGGGACCUUCGGGCCUCUUGCCAUCGGAUGUGCCCAGAUGGGAUUAGCUAGUAGGUGGGGUAACGGCUCACCUAGGCGACGAUCCCUAGCUGGUCUGAGAGGAUGACCAGCCACACUGGAACUGAGACACGGUCCAGACUCCUACGGGAGGCAGCAGUGGGGAAUAUUGCACAAUGGGCGCAAGCCUGAUGCAGCCAUGCCGCGUGUAUGAAGAAGGCCUUCGGGUUGUAAAGUACUUUCAGCGGGGAGGAAGGGAGUAAAGUUAAUACCUUUACUCAUUGACGUUACCCGCAGAAGAAGCACCGGCUAACUCCGUG